This 45-nucleotide non-coding RNA is filed under the name Schistosoma curassoni. Lineage: Eukaryota; Metazoa; Platyhelminthes; Trematoda; Strigeidida; Schistosomatidae. The record is from RNAcentral.
AUCCAGGUGACGAGUCCCAAGUAGGACGAAACGUGCUUCCUGGAU